Alosa sapidissima (American shad) is the source of this 127-nucleotide long non-coding RNA. RefSeq lists it as uncharacterized. The record is from RefSeq and is a predicted model, not a curated record. The transcript is spliced from 3 exons. NCBI's taxonomy places the organism in Eukaryota, Metazoa, Chordata, Actinopteri, Clupeiformes, Clupeidae.
GCUUUAUCCAUCUUUUUCCAUAGACAAUAACUAACUACUCGUACCUGCUCACUCAGCGCUCACGGCGCCCCACUCCCUUUUCUAUGUAAAAAUUCUAUGAUAGAAUCUAUAGGGCGCCUACUUUAGA